Molecule: ribosomal RNA, 480 nt
Filed under: uncultured bacterium
Lineage: Bacteria
Description: partial 16S ribosomal RNA
Rfam family: Bacterial small subunit ribosomal RNA
Source: RNAcentral
GACGAACGCUGGCGGCGUGCUUAACACAUGCAAGUCGAGCGGUAAGGCCCUUUCGGGGGUACACGAGCGGCGAACGGGUGAGUAACACGUGGGUGACCUGCCCUCCACUCUGGGAUAAGCCCGGGAAACUGGGUCUAAUACCGGAUAGGACACAUGAUCGCACGGUGGGGCGUGGAAACGUUUUUCGGUGGGGGAUGGUCCCGCGGCCUAUCAGCUUGUUGGUGGGGUGAUGGCCUACCAAGGCGGUGACGGGUAGCCGGCCUGAGAGGGCGACCGGCCACACUGGGACUGAGACACGGCCCAGACUCCUACGGGAGGCAGCAGUGGGGAAUAUUGCGCAAUGGGCGGAAGCCUGACGCAGCGACGCCGCGUGGGGGAUGACGGCCUUCGGGUUGUAAACCUCUUUCGCCAGGGACGAAGCUUUUGUGACGGUACAUGGGGAAGAAGCACCGGCCAACUACGUGCCAGCCGCCGCAGUAA